UAACUUAAAGGGGUGUCCCCGAAAGAGGAGCUAGGGGCGCGAGGCAACUCUCUCUAAGGAGCUCGGCAAAAUAGCCCUGUAACUUCGGGAGAAGGGAUGCCUCCUCACAAAGGGGGUUGCAGUUACCAAGCUCGGACGACUGUUUACCAAAAACACAAGUCUCCACAAAGUCAUAAGACCAUGUAUGGGGGGCUGACGCCUGCUUAGUGCCGGAAGGUAAAGGAAGUUGGUGACCUGAUGCCAGCGAUCAAAGCCCCAGUGAACGGCGAUUGUAACUAUAACGAUCCUAAGGUGGUGAAAUUCCUCGUUGGGUAAGUUGCAACCCACACAAAAGGUGUAACGAUCUGGGCAUUGUCUCGAAGAGAGGCCUGGUGAAA
RNAcentral lists this non-coding RNA (377 nucleotides) under Jatropha curcas. RNAcentral describes it as "Bacterial large subunit ribosomal RNA". It matches the Rfam family "Bacterial large subunit ribosomal RNA", at positions 1649 to 2041 of the family's 2925-position model. The record is from Rfam by way of RNAcentral. Lineage: Eukaryota; Viridiplantae; Streptophyta; Magnoliopsida; Malpighiales; Euphorbiaceae.